Molecule: long non-coding RNA, 1449 nt
Filed under: Calidris pugnax (ruff)
Lineage: Eukaryota; Metazoa; Chordata; Aves; Charadriiformes; Scolopacidae
Description: lncRNA (ENSCPUG00000011649.1)
Source: RNAcentral
UCUUGCUCUGGCUCAGACAAGGAAAUCAUGGUAUAUACCUUGCUCACCUCUAAAGUAAAUAGUUUAAGAGCUCCAAUGCUAGUUUUAACUGUAUUCCAGAAAUAGCAGUCAUUAUUACACACCAUUUGUGUUGCAAUAGCCCACAGAGACCUUCGCCCAGACUGGUCGUGCUUGGCCUUUGUGCAGUAUGAACACAGUGAUAACAGCUCCUGCUGGAGAGAGGGUACCUUCCAGGAAGAAAGAAAACUGGAGGCCUGUGUCACUGUGUCCUUGUGUCACUGGAUGCUCUUCCUGGAAGUUCACACUUAAUUUUCUGAGGCUCUGGCUUCACGGGGAUUGCUGGUGAUGACUACAUGUCCACAAGGACAUGGACAACCUCACUACAGGACCUUACCUUCAAAGUGGAGUUUGACCCAGGUGUGAUGGCAACAGUAACAGUUAAAUACCCUAAAUCCAUGUACAUAAGACUUAAAGUUGUUACCACUUCUUAAAUGUCUCAGUUUCAAAUUUCUUGGGAUAAAAUGUCUUUGUAGGUCUUUGCAGAACACCUGGCCUGACAGAGCCUUGUUUAUGAUAGCAGCUUAGUAAGUGGCACACACCAAUGAAGAGGGAUCAGCACAAACAUUUGUGCAAGCAAAGAGAGUUGCACAAAUACUCACAGGCUGUGACAGUGUUGGGGAUGGGCUUAGGAAUAUGUGACAAAGAUCGUAGUCAAAGCAUUUUAUUCCCUUCUUUAAAGGCUUGCUAAUAUUUGUGUACCAAAAUCUAUUUCUUUUUUCUUAUGGAACAGUUUGAAUAUCCCUUUAUUAAUCACAGAACCACUAGAUUCUUAUUUGGGGCAUAGUCUGCACUGAAAACAUGGGUAUGAAUGGAGAGACGAACAGCAACACGCAGCCUACUGGCUGUAGCAGUGCCAAACUCAGCCCAGUGUAAUUGCCUCUGGUGACACACGCAUUUUAAUAUUAGUGGACAAUGUUUAAUCAGCCAAAUUAUUUUAACUGUGAGAACUUUACAAUAAGACAAUUGAAGGUAUCUUAACUGCUAUUUACCACUGGUUUUCUAGCACAUUGCUGUUAAAACUGGGUAAUUUUAGCUCUAUGAUGGUAACCUGGUGGUGACACAGGAAGACAAAUUGCUUUCUUAGGGUCAGUUAUGCUUUAAAAAAUCUUUAUAAUCAGUGUAACAAGUGGGUGCAAUUGCAAUAUCACACAUACAUAUUACAAAACACCUAGUAAAUAAUACAUUUGAAACGAGUUCUUAUCUUUUGCUCAGGGACAUCUAAAGUGUCAACCAGUGGAUAAAUAUCCAUUUUCUUUUAAGAGCAGUUUGUCAUUUUCUCUUGGAAUGAAAGAUUUUCCCAGAUUCAAGCACAUUUCCUUGCUGCAGUUAAAAGCCGAGUGAACAAAACUGUAUUUUUCAACUAAUAAAUCCUCUAAAAAGGAAAUCUCA